UUCAUUAACCCUAACUUCCAAAUCUAAAGUUCUACCUAGAACUCGCCUAGUAGAAGAAGAAGAUGAAGUUUGGUGAAGAUGAUGAGUAGAAAAUGGUGAUGAUGAGCUUUUCCUUCUUCUCCUCCAAUCCAUUCUUCCUUCUUUCUCUCUUCUUUAUUCUUCUCUUUUCAUCUUCCUUUCUUUUCUUUUCUGAUAUCUCUCUCUUUCAUUCUUAUCUCUUCCUACUACUUCUUAUCCUUUUCUUCUUUUCUUUUCCACCACACAUACUCAUACUAUAUAAUAUAUAUAAAUAACAUACAAUAUUAAGUAGUAAUAUAAAAUAUCUCAAUUGAUAUUUUAUCUUCCAGUACCAAUUGACCAAUUAUCAAUGUUAUCAAAAAUGUCU
RNAcentral lists this long non-coding RNA (385 nucleotides) under Lathyrus oleraceus (garden pea). RNAcentral describes it as "Pisum sativum (pea) long non-coding RNA (PSAT_LNC019663)". The record is from RNAcentral. Lineage: Eukaryota; Viridiplantae; Streptophyta; Magnoliopsida; Fabales; Fabaceae.